Molecule: ribosomal RNA, 425 nt
Filed under: uncultured bacterium
Lineage: Bacteria
Description: bacterial SSU rRNA
Rfam family: Bacterial small subunit ribosomal RNA
Source: RNAcentral
GUGGGGAAUCUUGCGCAAUGGGCGAAAGCCUGACGCAGCCAUGCCGCGUGAAUGAUGAAGGUCUUAGGAUUGUAAAAUUCUUUCACCGGGGACGAUAAUGACGGUACCCGGAGAAGAAGCUCCGGCUAACUUCGUGCCAGCAGCCGCGGUAAUACGAAGGGGGCUAGCGUUGCUCGGAAUUACUGGGCGUAAAGGGCGCGUAGGCGGACAGCUUAGUCAGAGGUGAAAGCCCAGGGCUCAACCUUGGAAUUGCCUUUGAUACUGGCUGUCUUGAGUUUGGGAGAGGUGGGUGGAACUCCGAGUGUAGAGGUGAAAUUCGUAGAUAUUCGGAAGAACACCAGUGGCGAAGGCGACUCACUGGCCCAAUACUGACGCUGAGGCGCGAAAGCGUGGGGAGCAAACAGGAUUAGAAACCCUAGUAGUCC